GGGUUGUGAGGUUAAGCGACUAAGCGUACACGGUGGAUGCCCUGGCAGUCAGAGGCGAUGAAGGACGUGCUAAUCUGCGAUAAGCGUCGGUAAGGUGAUAUGAACCGUUAUAACCGGCGAUUUCCGAAUGGGGAAACCCAGUGUGAUUCGUCACACUAUCAUUAACUGAAUCCAUAGGUUAAUGAGGCGAACCGGGGGAACUGAAACAUCUAAGUACCCGAGGAAAAGAAAUCAACCGAGAUUCCCCAGUAGCGGCGAGCGAACGGGGAGCAGCCCAGAGCCUGAAUCAGUAUGUGUGUUAGUGGAAGCGUCUGGAAAGGCGCGCGAUACAGGGUGACAGCCCCGUACACAAAAAUGCACAUGCUGUGAGCUCGAUGAGUAGGGCGGGACACGUGGUAUCCUGUCUGAAUAUGGGGGACCAUCCUCCAAGGCUAAAUACUCCUGACUGACCGAUAGUGAACCAGUACCGUGAGGGAAAGGCGAAAAGAACCCCGGCGAGGGGAGUGAAAAAGAACCUGAAACCGUGUACGUACAAGCAGUGGGAGCACAGAGCAAUCUGUGUGACUGCGUACCUUUUGUAUAAUGGGUCAGCGACUUAUAUUCUGUAGCAAGGUUAACCGAAUAGGGGAGUCGAAGGGAAACCGAGUCUUAACUGGGCGUUAAGUUGCAGGGUAUAGACCCGAAACCCGGUGAUCUAGCCAUGGGCAGGUUGAAGGUUGGGUAACACUAACUGGAGGACCGAACCGACUAAUGUUGAAAAAUUAGCGGAUGACUUGUGGCUGGGGGUGAAAGGCCAAUCAAACCGGGAGAUAGCUGGUUCUCCCCGAAAGCUAUUUAGGUAGCGCCUCGUGAAUUCAUCUCCGGGGGUAGAGCACUGUUUCGGCAAGGGGGUCAUCCCGACUUACCAACCCGAUGCAAACUGCGAAUACCGGAGAAUGUUAUCACGGGAGACACACGGCGGGUGCUAACGUCCGUCGUGAAGAGGGAAACAACCCAGACCGCCAGCUAAGGUCCCAAAGUCAUGGUUAAGUGGGAAACGAUGUGGGAAGGCCCAGACAGCCAGGAUGUUGGCUUAGAAGCAGCCAUCAUUUAAAGAAAGCGUAAUAGCUCACUGGUCGAGUCGGCCUGCGCGGAAGAUGUAACGGGGCUAAACCAUGCACCGAAGCUGCGGCAGCGACGCUUAUGCGUUGUUGGGUAGGGGAGCGUUCUGUAAGCCUGUGAAGGUGUGCUGUGAGGCAUGCUGGAGGUAUCAGAAGUGCGAAUGCUGACAUAAGUAACGAUAAAGCGGGUGAAAAGCCCGCUCGCCGGAAGACCAAGGGUUCCUGUCCAACGUUAAUCGGGGCAGGGUGAGUCGACCCUAAGGCGAGGCCGAAAGGCGUAGUCGAUGGGAAACAGGUUAAUAUUCCUGUACUUGGUGUUACUGCGAAGGGGGACGGAGAAGGCUAUGUUGGCCGGGCGACGGUUGUCCCGGUUUAAGCGUGUAGGCUGGUUUUCCAGGCAAAUCCGGAAAAUCAAGGCUGAGGCGUGAUGACGAGGCACUACGGUGCUGAAGCAACAAAUGCCCUGCUUCCAGGAAAAGCCUCUAAGCAUCAGGUAACAUCAAAUCGUACCCCAAACCGACACAGGUGGUCAGGUAGAGAAUACCAAGGCGCUUGAGAGAACUCGGGUGAAGGAACUAGGCAAAAUGGUGCCGUAACUUCGGGAGAAGGCACGCUGAUAUGUAGGUGAAGUCCCUCGCGGAUGGAGCUGAAAUCAGUCGAAGAUACCAGCUGGCUGCAACUGUUUAUUAAAAACACAGCACUGUGCAAACACGAAAGUGGACGUAUACGGUGUGACGCCUGCCCGGUGCCGGAAGGUUAAUUGAUGGGGUUAGCGCAAGCGAAGCUCUUGAUCGAAGCCCCGGUAAACGGCGGCCGUAACUAUAACGGUCCUAAGGUAGCGAAAUUCCUUGUCGGGUAAGUUCCGACCUGCACGAAUGGCGUAAUGAUGGCCAGGCUGUCUCCACCCGAGACUCAGUGAAAUUGAACUCGCUGUGAAGAUGCAGUGUACCCGCGGCAAGACGGAAAGACCCCGUGAACCUUUACUAUAGCUUGACACUGAACAUUGAGCCUUGAUGUGUAGGAUAGGUGGGAGGCUUUGAAGUGUGGACGCCAGUCUGCAUGGAGCCGACCUUGAAAUACCACCCUUUAAUGUUUGAUGUUCUAACGUUGACCCGUAAUCCGGGUUGCGGACAGUGUCUGGUGGGUAGUUUGACUGGGGCGGUCUCCUCCUAAAGAGUAACGGAGGAGCACGAAGGUUGGCUAAUCCUGGUCGGACAUCAGGAGGUUAGUGCAAUGGCAUAAGCCAGCUUGACUGCGAGCGUGACGGCGCGAGCAGGUGCGAAAGCAGGUCAUAGUGAUCCGGUGGUUCUGAAUGGAAGGGCCAUCGCUCAACGGAUAAAAGGUACUCCGGGGAUAACAGGCUGAUACCGCCCAAGAGUUCAUAUCGACGGCGGUGUUUGGCACCUCGAUGUCGGCUCAUCACAUCCUGGGGCUGAAGUAGGUCCCAAGGGUAUGGCUGUUCGCCAUUUAAAGUGGUACGCGAGCUGGGUUUAGAACGUCGUGAGACAGUUCGGUCCCUAUCUGCCGUGGGCGCUGGAGAACUGAGGGGGGCUGCUCCUAGUACGAGAGGACCGGAGUGGACGCAUCACUGGUGUUCGGGUUGUCAUGCCAAUGGCACUGCCCGGUAGCUAAAUGCGGAAGAGAUAAGUGCUGAAAGCAUCUAAGCACGAAACUUGCCCCGAGAUGAGUUCUCCCUGACUCCUUGAGAGUCCUGAAGGAACGUUGAAGACGACGACGUUGAUAGGCCGGGUGUGUAAGCGCAGCGAUGCGUUGAGCUAACCGGUACUAAUGAACCGUGAGGCUUAACCUUACAACGCCGAAGCUGUU
Molecule: ribosomal RNA, 2927 nt
Filed under: Escherichia coli O26 str. RM8426
Lineage: Bacteria; Pseudomonadati; Pseudomonadota; Gammaproteobacteria; Enterobacterales; Enterobacteriaceae
Description: bacterial LSU rRNA
Rfam family: Bacterial large subunit ribosomal RNA
Source: RNAcentral